This 428-nucleotide ribosomal RNA is filed under the name uncultured bacterium. RNAcentral describes it as "bacterial SSU rRNA". It matches the Rfam family "Bacterial small subunit ribosomal RNA", at positions 355 to 774 of the family's 1533-position model. The record is from RNAcentral.
UGGGGAAUAUUGGACAAUGGGGGCAACCUUGAUCCAGCCAUGCCGCGUGAGUGAUGAAGGCCUUAGGGUUGUAAAGCUCUGUUGUCAGGGAAGAAAGGUACUUUUGUGAAUAAUGGGAGUAAAUGACGGUACCUGACGAGGAAGCCACGGCUAACUACGUGCCAGCAGCCGCGGUAAUACGUAGGUGGCAAGCGUUGUCCGGAAUUAUUGGGCGUAAAGAGUACGUAGGCGGCAAGGUAAGUCUGAUGUGAAAUGCGGGAGCUUAACUUCCGAACGGCAUUGGAUACUGCUUUGCUAGAGCAAUGGAGGGGAAACCGGAAUUCUCGGUGUAGCAGUGAAAUGCGUAGAUAUCGAGAGGAACACUCGUGGCGAAGGCGGGUUUCUGGACAUUAGCUGACGCUGAGGUACGAAGGCCAGGGUAGCGAAAG